AUUGAACGCUGGCGGCAGGCCUAACACAUGCAAGUCGAGCGGAUGAAGGGAGCUUGCUCCUGGAUUCAGCGGCGGACGGGUGAGUAAUGCCUAGGAAUCUGCCUGGUAGUGGGGGAUAACGUCCGGAAACGGGCGCUAAUACCGCAUACGUCCUGAGGGAGAAAGUGGGGGAUCUUCGGACCUCACGCUAUCAGAUGAGCCUAGGUCGGAUUAGCUAGUUGGUGGGGUAAAGGCCUACCAAGGCGACGAUCCGUAACUGGUCUGAGAGGAUGAGCAGUCACACUGGAACUGAGACACGGUCCAGACUCCUACGGGAGGCAGCAGUGGGGAAUAUUGGACAAUGGGCGAAAGCCUGAUCCAGCAAUGCCGCGUGUGUGAAGAAGGUCUUCGGAUUGUAAAGCACUUUAAGUUGGGAGGAAGGGCAGUAAGUUAAUACCUUGCUGUUUUGACGUUACCAACAGAAUAAGCACCGGCUAACUUCGUG
RNAcentral lists this ribosomal RNA (484 nucleotides) under uncultured bacterium. Its description in RNAcentral is "partial 16S ribosomal RNA". It matches the Rfam family "Bacterial small subunit ribosomal RNA", at positions 30 to 507 of the family's 1533-position model. The record is from RNAcentral.